RNAcentral lists this ribosomal RNA (275 nucleotides) under uncultured Tessaracoccus sp. Its description in RNAcentral is "partial 16S ribosomal RNA". It matches the Rfam family "Bacterial small subunit ribosomal RNA", at positions 338 to 625 of the family's 1533-position model. The record is from RNAcentral. Lineage: Bacteria; Bacillati; Actinomycetota; Actinomycetes; Propionibacteriales; Propionibacteriaceae.
CCUACGGGGGGCAGCAGUGGGGAAUAUUGCACAAUGGACGGAAGUCUGAUGCAGCAACGCCGCGUGCGGGAUGACGGCCUUCGGGUUGUAAACCGCUUUCAUCCAUGACGAAGCGAGAGUGACGGUAGUGGGAGAAGAAGCACCGGCUAACUACGUGCCAGCAGCCGCGGUGAUACGUAGGGUGCGAGCGUUGUCCGGAUUUAUUGGGCGUAAAGAGCUUGUAGGCGGUUUGUUGCGUCGGAAGUGAAAACUCAGGGCUUAACUCUGAGCCUGCU